This 536-nucleotide ribosomal RNA is filed under the name Vanrija musci. RNAcentral describes it as "eukaryotic LSU rRNA". It matches the Rfam family "Eukaryotic large subunit ribosomal RNA", at positions 123 to 650 of the family's 3401-position model. The record is from RNAcentral. Lineage: Eukaryota; Fungi; Basidiomycota; Tremellomycetes; Trichosporonales; Trichosporonaceae.
GGCGUCCUUCGGGCGUCCGAGUUGUAAUCUAUAGAAGUGUUUUCCGUGCCGGACCAUGUCCAAGUCCCUUGGAACAGGGUAUCAAAGAGGGUGACAAUCCCGUACUUGACAUGACCACCGGUGCUCUGUGAUACACUUUCUACGAGUCGAGUUGUUUGGGAAUGCAGCUCAAAAUGGGUGGUAAAUUCCAUCUAAAGCUAAAUAUUGGCGAGAGACCGAUAGCGAACAAGUACCGUGAGGGAAAGAUGAAAAGCACUUUGGAAAGAGAGUUAAACAGUACGUGAAAUUGUUGAAAGGGAAACGAUUGAAGUCAGUCGUGUUCUUUGGACUCAGCCGGUUCUUCCGGUCUAUUUCCUUUGAACGGGUCAACAUCAGUUUUGUCCGGUGGAUAAAGGCAGGAAGAAAGUGGCUCCCUCGGGAGUGUUAUAGCUUUCUGUCACAUACACUGGAGGAGACUGAGGACUGCAGCUCGCCUUUUGGCCGGGGUUCGCCCACGUUCGAGCUUAGGAUGUUGACAUAAUGGCUUUAAACGACCC